This 86-nucleotide transfer RNA is filed under the name Microcaldota archaeon. RNAcentral describes it as "tRNA-Ser". It matches the Rfam family "tRNA". From Rfam's summary of the family: Transfer RNA (tRNA) molecules are approximately 80 nucleotides in length. Their secondary structure includes four short double-helical elements and three loops (D, anti-codon, and T loops). The record is from RNAcentral. Lineage: Archaea; Nanobdellati; Microcaldota.
GCUGGAGUCGCCUAGUGGUAGGGCGGCAGCCUGCUAAGCUGUUUAGCUAGAAAUGGCUUCUGUGGGUUCGAUUCCCACCUCCAGCG